AUUGAACGCUAGCGGGAUGCCUUACACAUGCAAGUCGAACGGCAGCGCGGACUUCGGUCUGGCGGCGAGUGGCGAACGGGUGAGUAAUGUAUCGGAACGUGCCCAGUAGCGGGGGACAACCACUCGAAAGAGUGGCUAAUACCGCAUACGCCCUACGGGGAAAGGGGGGAGUCGCAAGACCUCUCACUAUUGGAGCGGCCGAUAUCGGAUUAGCUAGUUGGUGGGUAAAGGCCUACCAAGGCGACGAUCCGUAGCUGGUUUGAGAGGACGACCAGCCACACUGGGACUGAGACACGGCCCAGACUCCUACGGGAGGCAGCAGUGGGGAAUUUUGGACAAUGGGGGAAACCCUGAUCCAGCCAUUCCGCGUGUGCGAUGAAGGCCUUCGGGUUGUUAAAGCGACUUUUGGCAGGAAAGGAAAUACGUGU
Molecule: ribosomal RNA, 428 nt
Filed under: uncultured bacterium
Lineage: Bacteria
Description: bacterial SSU rRNA
Rfam family: Bacterial small subunit ribosomal RNA
Source: RNAcentral